GCUGGGCGAGGUGGUGCAGGCCUGUGAUCCCAGCUGCUCAGGAGGCUGAGGCAGGAGGAUUGUGAGUUCAAAGCCAGCCUCAGUAGUAGAGAGGUGCUGAGCAACUCAGUGAGACCCUUUCUCUA
RNAcentral lists this small RNA (125 nucleotides) under Marmota monax (woodchuck). The record is from RNAcentral. Lineage: Eukaryota; Metazoa; Chordata; Mammalia; Rodentia; Sciuridae.